Molecule: ribosomal RNA, 490 nt
Filed under: uncultured bacterium
Lineage: Bacteria
Description: bacterial SSU rRNA
Rfam family: Bacterial small subunit ribosomal RNA
Source: RNAcentral
AUUGAACGCUGGCGGCAGGCCUAACACAUGCAAGUCGAACGGUAGCACAGAGGAGCUUGCUCCUUGGGUGACGAGUGGCGGACGGGUGAGUAAUGUCUGGGAAACUGCCCGAUGGAGGGGGAUAACUACUGGAAACGGUAGCUAAUACCGCAUAACGUCGCAAGACCAAAGAGGGGGACCUUCGGGCCUCUUGCCAUCGGAUGUGCCCAGAUGGGAUUAGCUAGUAGGUGGGGUAACGGCUCACCUAGGCGACGAUCCCUAGCUAGUCUGAGAGGAUGACCAGCCACACUGGAACUGAGACACGGUCCAGACUCCUACGGGAGGCAGCAGUGGGGAAUAUUGCACAAUGGGCGCAAGCCUGAUGCAGCCAUGCCGCGUGUAUGAAGAAGGCCUUCGGGUUGUAAAGUACUUUCAGCGAGGAGGAAGGCGUUGUGGUUAAUAACCGCAGCGAUUGACGUUACUCGCAGAAGAAGCACCGGCUAACUCCGUG